RNAcentral lists this long non-coding RNA (226 nucleotides) under Elaeis guineensis (African oil palm). RNAcentral's name for it is "long non-coding RNA (EGUI_LNC002706)". Lineage: Eukaryota; Viridiplantae; Streptophyta; Magnoliopsida; Arecales; Arecaceae. The record is from RNAcentral.
CACUAGGGGCCUUAAGUUGAGAUCGAAAAAGUGGCUCCUGACCUUUUUCUUGAAGUCUACAAUCCCCUGCAGAUAUGAGUCGGAGCUGAACUCUACCAUGAUCUUGUGAAAUUCUUUCGAGGAGCGGAAGGCUUCGACCGCAGUGACUUUGGCUGCCUCCAACUUUUCCUUACACUUAUUAUUUUAUGCGGAUAGCCGAGCUUCUGCAUCACUUCAAGCCUUGGUG